Molecule: signal recognition particle RNA, 245 nt
Filed under: Chinchilla lanigera (long-tailed chinchilla)
Lineage: Eukaryota; Metazoa; Chordata; Mammalia; Rodentia; Chinchillidae
Description: Metazoan signal recognition particle RNA (ENSCLAG00000021428.1)
Rfam family: Metazoan signal recognition particle RNA
About the family: The signal recognition particle (SRP) is a universally conserved ribonucleoprotein.
Source: RNAcentral
GCUGGGCAUGGUGGUGCACGCCUGUAAUCCCAGCACUCGGGAGGCUGAGGCAGAAUGAUCGCUGCGAAUUCGAGGCCAGCUUGGGCUACAAAGUGAGCUCAAGGCCAGGGUGAACUGCAGAGUGAGACUGUGUCUCAAAAAGACCAAAAAAACAGAGAUAGGGUCUCGCUCUGCAGUUCAGGUUGCCCUUGAGCUCACUUUGUAGCCCAAGGUGGCCUCAAAUUCGCAACGAUCCUCCUGCCUCA